CUUGGGAGUGGACUCAAGGACUGGUACAGUGGAAUUAAUCAUUUCUGUGCAAAAGGAAUGACCAAUUUUCUGUCAACUUCUUUUUAACCAGUCCCUGUCCAAAGUGCUGUGACUUGCUCCUGCAAUGUCUCAGCCAAGAUUUCCAUCAGGAGGAAAAAUGAAGAACAAGCUGUAUUUUACUGUGUGCUUCUGAAGGCAAAGAGUAACAGGGAAAUGAACUACAGGAUAAUGGAUGCGGGGAUGCAGAAUGACAGAUUGUUACCUAAGAGGAGUGAUCAGAGACGUUGGGAUAAAGAAUGAAGUUCUUGGGAAGUGAUGAAUUUAGCUAUUAUUGAACACCAGAACCAUAUAGCAACAUCUAAGCAAUCUUAUCUCACUGCAAGAAAGUCUCUGCAAUGGCAAAUUCCAGAACAACAGUGGCCUCUUUCAUCAAGAAUUCUGCCAAAGGACUUGUACAAAACCCACAUUCUGGCUCUCCACACUACGCAGAUGGCUUGGCUGGCUGGAAUGAAAGUGAAGAUGACAAGAUUUUGGUCUCUGGAGAGAGAAGAUCUCAUUGUAAGAUUGGAUGUUGCACCAUCUCCACCACUGUGGACAAGGUUUUACCAUAUUUGA
This 615-nucleotide long non-coding RNA is filed under the name Zonotrichia albicollis (white-throated sparrow). Its description in RNAcentral is "lncRNA (ENSZALG00000015725.1)". The record is from RNAcentral. Lineage: Eukaryota; Metazoa; Chordata; Aves; Passeriformes; Passerellidae.